GCAGAAUCUUUUUUUUUUAAUACCAUCUCAAAACAGAAAUAAUGCUUUUUAUCCUUUGAAGCACAGAAAUUUAACUCACAGCUUCUCUAGACACUAAUAGGUUGGUAUAACCAAUAUGAUCUUUUGAUCAAAAUGAAAGAAGGGCUGUAUUUUGGGCUCAGCCACUGUCUGCAGAAUGAAUUAGACAAAAUCCUGAAGGGGAGCUGAUAUAGUUUGGAUGUUUUUUCCACCUGAAAUGUGACCUCCAAAGUUGGAGCUCCCCCUUCACCUUCCACCAUGACUGUAAGCUCCCAGAGGCCUUCACCAGAAGCAGAUGCCAGCACCAUGCUUCCUGUAUAGCCUGCAGAACCAUGGGCCAAAAUAAAUGUCUUUUCUUCAUAAAUAACCCAGUCUUAGGUAUUUCUUUAUAGUAACACAAAAUGGACUAACAUAGAAAAUUGGUACUGAGAAGUAAGGCAUUGCUAUAAAGAUAUCUGAAGAUGUGGAAGUACUUUGGAACUGGGUAACAGCAAGAGGCUGGAAGAGUUUGGAGGCCUCAGAAGAUGAUGGGAAGAUGAGGGAAAUUUUGGAACUUCUGAGGGACUGGUUAAAUGGUUAUAACCAAAAUGCUAAUAGAAAUAUGGACAGUGAAGGCCAAACUGAAGAGGUCUCAGAUUGAAAUGAUGAACUUAUUUGGAACAAAAGCAAAAAUUAUCCUUGUCACUCUGUAGCAAAGAACUUGGGUGCAUUGUGUCCCUACCCUACGUAUCUGUGGAAGUUUGAAUUUAAGAAUGAUGAUUUAGGAUACCUGGCAGAAGAAAUCUCUAAGCAGCCAAGUGUUAAAGAAGUAGCCUGGCUACUUCUAACAGCCAAUGAUAAGAUAUGGGAGCAAAGAAAUGACUUAAAGUUGGAGCUUAUGAAUAAAAAGGAAGCAGAACAUAAAGGUUAUCUUGCAGUAAUGACUGAGUUAUCACACUAUGAGUUCAUGUGAGACUUGGUUGUUUAAAAGAGCCUAGCACCUCUUCCCUCUCUCUCUUGAUUCCCCUCUUGCCAUGUAAUACAUUGUAUCAGCUUCCCUUCUCCCUUGUGCCAUGAUUGUAAGCUGCCUGAGCGCCCCCAGAAGCAGAUGCCAACACAUGCUUCCUGGAUAUCCUGCCAAGCCAUAAGCCAAAAUAAACCUCUUUUCUUCAUAAAGUAUUCAGUUUCAGGUGUUCCUUUAUAGUAAUGCAAACAGACUAACACAGAAGCCAUGGCAUGUACAAAUAUA
RNAcentral lists this long non-coding RNA (1246 nucleotides) under Homo sapiens (human). RNAcentral describes it as "HSALNT0312746". Lineage: Eukaryota; Metazoa; Chordata; Mammalia; Primates; Hominidae. The record is from RNAcentral.